CCCUUGGGGGGGCUCCAAAUCUUCUCUACCGAGUCUGUUUAUCAGCCAAACUUUAGCUGACCUUUGGACUUGUUAAGCAAGUGGCUUGCAGCCUAGGCUGGGUGGGGGUGGGGGUGGGCUUUUCCACUGGCGGCCGGUUCAACUUUAGUCCAGAAAGAAGAAACUGCGCUUCGGGGGUUCAGGUCUGGCCCGGAAGGAAGCCAUGAGCCUUUCGGCACGGCAGGAGUUUCUGCCACAUCUCCCCCGGGACCCGGGGAGGAAGGAAGGAGGCGCAGGCCGCACCCAGACCUCCAGGCUGGGACCUGGCCCGUUGGGGAAGAGACUGCUCAGAUCCACACACAGUGGUAGCUCCCGGGGCAGAGGCCAUUUUGAACCUCGGUUCCCUCAUUUGUGAAAUAUACUCCUUAAUAGCCAGGAUGCAGGGAAGGUGUAAACAUUGAGGAGGACCACCUGUGCAAAGCUGGCUAACACUUGUGUUCUUUUCCGUCCGUGAAGAUGGGAGGCCAGUUCCCAGUGGUAAAAUCUAGCCCCGUGGAAGCUUAGGUUUCUCAGAACCAGGGACAGUGAGUUUGAAAGAACUGGACAAAGAAGGACAAAAAAAAAAAAAAAAAAUCAGGAGAGCAAAGGAACUUCUAAGCACAUUCUCUUAACUGCUUGCACUUUCAAACACAACAGAUUAGGAGGAAAUCGCGGUUGGGUCAGAGGUACAGAUGAAUAGUCACAAGGGAGGCCCGCAGCCCUCAUCUGCUACGCACAGGGUCAGACCUCCUGGUGAGCGGACUCCUGGUGAUUCUGAGUCAGGCUGCAAGGGUGAAGUUUCUGUGAAAGGCAGAGCCGCGGCCGGUACCGGAUCACCUGUGCUCAGAGUCUGGGAGAAGGAAGGGGUGGGUGCAUGCAUGGGAUCCCACCCAAGGAUAAACACCUAUCACUGUUUAUCUGAGAAAGGGGUUAUAAGUUCACAGAAGGGGGGGGGUAUUCAUUUCACCUUCUUGCUUUCUCAUUUGUUGUGACAUGUGACAGAUCCUUGCCUCUUGUGAUUCUGCCCAGUAUAACUCGCUCUGCCUUCCAGCUCCACUCGGGCAGAAUAAUGAAGUGUUCAGAGUAAAUGUCUCUCUGACUGAAA
Molecule: long non-coding RNA, 1123 nt
Organism: Peromyscus leucopus (white-footed mouse)
Lineage: Eukaryota; Metazoa; Chordata; Mammalia; Rodentia; Cricetidae
Exons: 2
Source: RefSeq, a predicted model, not a curated record